RNAcentral lists this ribosomal RNA (824 nucleotides) under uncultured Planctomycetota bacterium. Its description in RNAcentral is "bacterial SSU rRNA". It matches the Rfam family "Bacterial small subunit ribosomal RNA", at positions 1 to 799 of the family's 1533-position model. The record is from RNAcentral. Lineage: Bacteria; Pseudomonadati; Planctomycetota.
AGGAGAGUUUGAUCCUGGCUCAGAACGAACGCUGGCAGCGUGGAUUAGGCAUGCAAGUCGUACGGGGGCCUGGCGGAUAGCAAUAUUAGCCAGGCCCUAGUGGCGGAAGGGCGAGUAACGCCCGGGCAACCUGCCCUCUUGCUGGGGAUAACGCGGGGAAACCCGUGCUAAUACCGAAUGUGGCGUGGCGCGGCAUCGCGCCGUUGCCAAAGGCGGGGACCGCAAGGCCUGCCGCAAGGGGAGGGGCCCGGGUACCAUCAGCUGGUUGGCGGGGUCACGGCCCACCAAGGCGACGACGGUUAGCUGGUCUGAGAGGACGACCAGCCGCACUGGGACUGAGAUACUGCCCAGACUCCUACGGGAGGCUGCAGUCGAGGAUCAUUCGCAAUGGGCGCAAGCCUGACGAUGCGACGCUGCGUGGAGGAUGAAGGGCUUCGGCUCGUAAACUCCUGUCAUGGGGGAAAAAGGUCCCCAUUGUCAACAACGAUGGGGCUCGAUGGUACUCCAAGAGGAAGCCACGGCUAACUCUGUGCCAGCAGCCGCGGUAAUACAGAGGUGGCGAGCGUUGUUCGGAUUUACUGGGCGUAAAGGGCGCGUAGGAGGCCCCGUUAGCCGACUGUGAAAUCUCCGGGCUCAACCCGGAAAGUGCGGUCGGGACUGCGGGGCUGGAGCAGGGGAAGGGAAAGCGGAACUCAGGGUGUAGCGGUGAAAUGCGUUGAUAUCCUGAAGAACACCGGUGGCGAAGGCGGCUUUCUGGAACCUGGCUGACUCUGAGGCGCGAAAGUAGGGGGAGCAAACAGGAUUAGAUACCCUGGUAGUCCCCU